RNAcentral lists this ribosomal RNA (117 nucleotides) under Corynebacterium kalinowskii. The record is from RNAcentral. Lineage: Bacteria; Bacillati; Actinomycetota; Actinomycetes; Mycobacteriales; Corynebacteriaceae.
CGGUGGUUAUUAGCGUGAGGGAAACGCCCGGUCCCAUUCCGAACCCGGAAGCUAAGCCUUACUGCGCCGAUGGUACUGCACCUGGGAGGGUGUGGGAGAGUAGGACACCGCCGACCA